RNAcentral lists this ribosomal RNA (339 nucleotides) under Diplocentrus formosus. RNAcentral's name for it is "partial 12S ribosomal RNA". Lineage: Eukaryota; Metazoa; Arthropoda; Arachnida; Scorpiones; Diplocentridae. The record is from RNAcentral.
UAAAAUAUUAUUAAUUAAGUAGUAAAGAAAUCUCCGAAACUUAAAGAAUUUGGCGGUGUUUUAAAUAAUUGGAGGAAUCUGUUAAAUAAAUGAUAUUCCACAACAAAUCUUUCCUUAUUUUUGUUUGUAUAUCGUCAUUUACAGACAAUGUUUAAAAAUAAUAGUCGCAAUUAAUUUUAAAUCCCGUAAAUUAGAUCAAGGUGCAGCAUAAUAAGGUUAUAAUGGAUUACAAUAUUAAUAAAAUAUUUACGAAUAAGAAAGAGAAACUCUUUCUUUGAAGGAGGAUUCAAAUGUAAUUUAAAAAUAAUUUGUUUCUUUGAAUAAUAUCUUAAAACAUGC